UAGGGAAUCUUCGGCAAUGGACGGAAGUCUGACCGAGCAACGCCGCGUGAGUGAAGAAGGUUUUCGGAUCGUAAAGCUCUGUUGUAAGAGAAGAACGAGUGUGAGAGUGGAAAGUUCACACUGUGACGGUAUCUUACCAGAAAGGGACGGCUAACUACGUGCCAGCAGCCGCGGUAAUACGUAGGUCCCGAGCGUUGUCCGGAUUUAUUGGGCGUAAAGCGAGCGCAGGCGGUUAGAUAAGUCUGAAGUUAGAGGCUGUGGCUUAACCAUAGUAGGCUUUGGAAACUGUUUAACUUGAGUGCAAGAGGGGAGAGUGGAAUUCCAUGUGUAGCGGUGAAAUGCGUAGAUAUAUGGAGGAACACCGGUGGCGAAAGCGGCUCUCUGGCUUGUAACUGACGCUGAGGCUCGAAAGCGUGGGGAGCAAACAGGAUUAGAUACCCUGGUAGUCCACGCUGUAAACGAUGAGUGCUAGGUGUUAGACCCUUUCCGGGGUUUAGUGCCGUAGCUAACGCAUUAAGCACUCCGCCUGGGGAGUACGACCGCAAGGUU
This 549-nucleotide ribosomal RNA is filed under the name uncultured bacterium. Its description in RNAcentral is "bacterial SSU rRNA". It matches the Rfam family "Bacterial small subunit ribosomal RNA", at positions 355 to 895 of the family's 1533-position model. The record is from RNAcentral.